AGAGUUUGAUUAUGGCUCAGGACGAACGCUGGCGGCGUGCCUAACACAUGCAAGUCGUGCGGGAGCAGAGGUCAGAGUUUUCUGACCUCUGCUCCAGCGGCGGACGGGUGAGUAACGCGUGGAUAACCUACCCGUAAGACCGGGAUAACACCGGGAAACUGGUGCUAAUACCGGAUACGCUCCCUGGGGGGCAUCCUUCGGGGAGGAAAGGGGGCCUCUGGUGCAAGCUCCUGCUUACGGAUGGGUCCGCGUCCCAUUAGCUUGUUGGUGGGGUAACGGCCUACCAAGGCGACGAUGGGUAGCCGGCCUGAGAGGGUGGUCGGCCACACUGGGACUGAGACACGGCCCAGACUCCUACGGGAGGCAGCAGUGGGGAAUCUUCCGCAAUGGGCGCAAGCCUGACGGAGCGACGCCGCGUGGGGGACGAAGGCCUUCGGGUUGUAAACCCCUUUUCUGCGGGAAGAAAGCACAGGGGGCGAACAGUCCUUUGUGUUGACGGUACCGCAGGAAUAAGCCCCGGCUAACUACGUGCCACCAGCCGCGGUAAGACGUAGGGGGCGAGCGUUGCCCGGAAUCACUGGGCGUAAAGG
Molecule: ribosomal RNA, 590 nt
Filed under: uncultured Clostridia bacterium
Lineage: Bacteria; Bacillati; Bacillota; Clostridia
Description: bacterial SSU rRNA
Rfam family: Bacterial small subunit ribosomal RNA
Source: RNAcentral